RNAcentral lists this unclassified non-coding RNA (185 nucleotides) under soil metagenome. RNAcentral describes it as "partial internal transcribed spacer 1". The record is from RNAcentral.
AUCGAGUUUUAACGGUUGUUGCUGGCCUCUACGGGCAUGUGCACGCCUGACUUCAUCCUACUUCAACCUCUGUGCCUUUACUCUAAUCGUGAAAAGGUCCAUUCAUUGCGCUGAACACUGUCGAACUUAUUACUACAAACCUUCUAUGUUAUAGGAAUGUUUAUCUGCUUAUAACCAGUUAUAUA